This 301-nucleotide ribosomal RNA is filed under the name uncultured bacterium. Its description in RNAcentral is "partial 16S ribosomal RNA". It matches the Rfam family "Bacterial small subunit ribosomal RNA", at positions 509 to 807 of the family's 1533-position model. The record is from RNAcentral.
CAGCCGCCGCGGUAAAACGAGGGGGGCAAGCGUUGUUCGGAAUUAUUGGGCGUAAAGGGUGCGUAGGCGGUUUGGCAAGUUUGGUGUGAAAUCUUCGGGCUCAACUCGAAGUCUGCAUCGAAAACUGCCGGGCUUGAGUAUGGGAGAGGUGAGUGGAAUUUCCGGUGUAGCGGUGAAAUGCGUAGAUAUCGGAAGGAACACCUGUGGCGAAAGCGGCUCACUGGACCAUAACUGACGCUGAUGCACGAAAGCUAGGGGAGCAAACAGGAUUAGAUACCCCGGUAGUCCCUGUCUCUUAUAC